This is a long non-coding RNA of Ficedula albicollis (Collared flycatcher), 3385 nucleotides long. NCBI's taxonomy places the organism in Eukaryota, Metazoa, Chordata, Aves, Passeriformes, Muscicapidae. The record is from Ensembl.
CCCCCCCCCCCCCCCCCCCCCCCCCCCCCCCCCCCCCCCCCCCCCCCCCGCCCCGCCCCGGGGGCGGUGCGGCGGCCCCGGCCGGCUCCCGCCGGCUCAGACCGGUUCUCAGCGCAAACAACCGCCCCCCGCCCGCUGGGCCAGCGCCGUGGCGGAACAGCCGCUUUUGCUCCACGAGCACCCGCUUUCCCCCCACAAAACGCCCGCUUUUCCCUCAAAAACAUUCGCUUUCCCCGCACCGAGACAGCCGGGUGAGGCGGCGCCGCGGCCGCCCCCCCCCCCCCCCCCCCCCCCCCCCCCCCCCCCCCCCCCCCCCCCCCCCCCCCCCCCCCCCCCCCCCCCCCCCCCCCCCCCCCCCCCCCCCCCCCCCCCCCCCCCCCCCCCCCCCCCCCCCCCCCCCCCCUCCGCCGGCCGUGAGGCGAGAGAAAGCGGCGGGGUUUCGGAGCGAGAUAAAAAUCUUAUUAUGCAACGCACAUUUUUAAUAGAUUAUUGCCGAGUCCAGGGCUGAGGUAAUGCGGGCUGUCAGCAGCUGGGGCGAGAGGCUGAGGGACGAGCGGGCUGCGGCCGCUCCCUCCCAAGGGCGCCGAAGACACUCUGCUGAACCGCUCUUCCGAUCUAACUUUAAUAUAUCGCAUUAUUUUUUUUCCACAGAAGGAUCUAUUUAUGUGGUUACACAUGCACAGCACAGGCAUCUCCAAACCCACUCAAAAUCCCAAAUCCCAGCUAAGUCACUGAUUCAUCACUUCUGGCAGCAAACAACGAAGGAAGGAGGAGAUGAAGACAAUGCUCCUGAAGGACAGUGCCUGGCACGAAGUUCCCAUCCGCCAUGUGUCCCAAGCGCUCCCCAGAGCAGGGAACACAACUCUGCCAGCUGAGACCAACAGGACAAGACUGGAGUGACCAAGUUCUUAAAUUUCAAAAGAAUGCAGUGUCAUUAAGACCUUAGUAACACCGUGGCCUCACAAAAUUGGCCAUUUCCACUUAUAAAAAAGCUGUAAGAGAAUCUCCAGCUUGCGAAAAUCCUCAAGACCACCACAGAAAUUGCAGGCAGUAAUUAUUCUCCAGACAAAUGAAAAGGGAUAUAUCACACAGCAAGUGGGAGCAUCGAACCAGGGAAAAGGGGGGGAGGCAGCUUUUGCUCACCAACAGGGCUAAAUUCAAAGUGUGUUGAAAAUUAAACACUUGUGCUUUGAAAGACUUCAAGGCCAGAUGGGGUUUUCUUCCCAAAGUAAAGAGAGGGUUAAAUUCUUAUUAUUAUCUGAUUACUGAAAAACAUGUAAAACUCUUUACUGAUCCUUCAAAAUUAAGUAUACAAUACACAAGAUUCCAUUACUUGCUCGACUGAGUUUGAUUUUAUUGUAUUAAUAAGAAAAAAAUGUUUUAUUUCCUCCCAGAGUAUCGUCUAUUUUUCCAUUACUAAAACUAGAAAUUGCCAAGAAAAUGAAAUGCUCAAGCACAGCAGACGCUGCUUUUCUUCUCAUUAAAUCUUAAAACUUGGUUCCAGUGGGAUCAUAUUUAGUCCUCUCAAAUUCAGAACAGGAUUUCAUCUCUCCUCAACAUCCCAACAAUGACUUUUAUAAAUAUUACAAGUUUCUUGGACGCCCUUCUCAUUCCACAAGGAGCAGAGAAGCACCAAUAGAGACUUUUUCUUCUUCCCCGGCUUGAGUUUUAUUUUAUUAAACCUUAAAUGUAACCAGCCCUCCUUUCAAUACAUUUUCUGUAGGAAAUAGCUGUAAUAAGUGUGAAAAAUCUUUGACAAAGGAUUAUCUCUAUUCAAGCAUUAAGCUCUCAUUGAGAGAGGUGUUGGAAAUAAACAAGUGUUUAAAGCAGCCUAAAAGUUGUCUUAAAUCUUCACCUGCUCUCCAGCCGAGACAGGACCUGGAUUUCUAAAUCCAGGAGGAGAAAACAGUAAUUAAGAGAAGUAAAUAAAUCCUUGCAUGAUUCUUUAGACAUGAGAGGGUGGGGCAAUCAGAAGAGGAGACACCGAUUUCCUCAUCUUGUCUUCUGUGCACUCCCCAUGGGUGUCAGCCCUUCUCACCCUUCCAGAAGGUUCAACACUGAAGGUAAGAUUUUGUGAGAAUAAUUCCCUUGGUCAGAGAGUUCUGCCAGAUGUAAAAUUCCAUUCACAGUGAUAAUCACAGAAUCCUAGAAUGGGUUGGGAGGGACCUUCAAGUUCACCUAAUUCCACCCCCUGCCAUAGGCAGGGACACCUUCCACUGUCCCAGGCUGCUCCAAGCCCCAAUGUCCAACCUGUCCUUGAACACCACCAGGGAUCCAGGGGCAGCCACAACUUCUGUGGGCACCCUGUGCCAGGGCCUCACCACCCUCACAGGCAGGAAUUUCUUCCCAUCCAUUCCUGCCUCUGGCAGUGGGAAGCCAUUUCCCCUCAUUCUGUCACUCCAGGCCUUCGUGAAAUCAAACACUCUAACUGAUACAAUUAUUUGCUUAAUGAAUAUUUUCAUUUUUAGAAAAGACCUGGUAUGCAAAGAAAACACUGCCAACACUGCAAACCCUCCUGAAGAGCAGAGCUCUUCGCCAAAGAGCAUAAAACAUUUAUGGGUGCAACCAUAGCUUUGUGGUUUCUACUACAAGGGUGAAUUUACUCGUAAAAGACCAAAUAUCAGAGAGGCACUUCAGCAUGAAUUAAAAAAUUAUUAAAAGAAAUCGGUGAUUUUCUAACACCUUCCCUGUAGGUGUUUUGUAAAGCUAUGCAAAUACAGAGCUAUUGCAGAACCAAGGACAUGGGAAACACAUCCCCAGGAAUCACAAACUUGGAUUAUUUUCUUUUAAUUCUUCCAAGUCUACAAUUUUUGCUGUGAGGCAGCAGGGGGAAAAAUGGGAAGGCGACAAAUCAACCUUGAGAAUGUCAGUGGUGUCAGGACACAAGAAGGAACAGAACAAUACCACUCAUCAUUUCCCAAAGCACACUGAAGUGUGGCCUGUAAAAAGUAGUUGACCCUAAAAUCUGCCUUUUCUCUCACUGAAGCAAAUAAAAGUGACCCCAUUCUCCAGGCACACAGGCAGCAAAGGCCUUGCGUCUGUACAUUCCUGCUCUGCCCAUCCAUCUUACAGACGCUGCAUGAAUCCACCACGGAAAAUAACGAACAACAGCAGCACCAUUCCCCUUGGAACCCCCGGUGCCAACUGAGCCUUUUUACAUUUCGACAUCAACAGCCGCAGCUCUGCCACGGAGCGCCUCCUCAGGAACGGAGCCGCGGGGCGCAGGGCACAGGGCGCAGGGACCUACCUGUCGCUGCUGGUGCUGCUGCUGCUGCUGAGGGAGUCGCUGCUGGAGGAGCGGCUGCGGGAGCCCCCCCCCCCCCCCCCCCCCCCCCCCCCCCCCCCCCCCCCCCCCCCCCCCCCCCCCCCCCCCCCCCCCCCCCCC